Molecule: ribosomal RNA, 253 nt
Filed under: uncultured bacterium
Lineage: Bacteria
Description: partial 16S ribosomal RNA
Rfam family: Bacterial small subunit ribosomal RNA
Source: RNAcentral
UACGUAGGGUGCGAGCGUUGUCCGGAAUUAUUGGGCGUAAAGGGCUCGUAGGCGGUCUGUCGCGUCGGGAGUGAAAACUCAGGGCUUAACCCUGAGCCUGCUUCCGAUACGGGCAGACUAGAGGUAUGCAGGGGAGAACGGAAUUCCUGGUGUAGCGGUGAAAUGCGCAGAUAUCAGGAGGAACACCGGUGGCGAAGGCGGUUCUCUGGGCAUUACCUGACGCUGAGGAGCGAAAGCGUGGGGAGCAAACGGG